UACAGAGGUCUCAAGCGUUGUUCGGAUUCAUUGGGCGUAAAGGGUGCGUAGGCGGCGCGGUAAGUCGGGUGUGAAAUUUCGGAGCUUAACUCCGAAACUGCAUUCGAUACUGCCGUGCUUGAGGACUGGAGAGGAGACUGGAAUUCACGGUGUAGCAGUGAAAUGCGUAGAUAUCGUGAGGAAGACCAGUGGCGAAGGCGGGUCUCUGGACAGUUCCUGACGCUGAGGCGCGAAGGCCAGGGGAGCAAACGGG
RNAcentral lists this ribosomal RNA (253 nucleotides) under uncultured bacterium. RNAcentral's name for it is "partial 16S ribosomal RNA". It matches the Rfam family "Bacterial small subunit ribosomal RNA", at positions 524 to 776 of the family's 1533-position model. The record is from RNAcentral.